AAGGCUGAAAUUCGCCUUCAUGAAGCCGGAAUUGCUAGUAAUGGCAGGUCAGCAUACUGCCGUGAAUACGUUCCCGGGCCUUGUACACACCGCCCGUCACACCAUGAGAGUUGGGGAUACCCGAAGCCUGUGAGCUAACUUAACGGAGGCAGCAGUCGAAGGUAGAAUCAAUGAUUGGGGUGAAGUCGUAACAAGGUAAC
RNAcentral lists this ribosomal RNA (200 nucleotides) under uncultured bacterium. RNAcentral's name for it is "partial 16S ribosomal RNA". It matches the Rfam family "Bacterial small subunit ribosomal RNA", at positions 1301 to 1500 of the family's 1533-position model. The record is from RNAcentral.